UAAACAGUGAGUGCUGUACGGGGAACAGA
RNAcentral lists this non-coding RNA (29 nucleotides) under Rattus norvegicus (Norway rat). The record is from RNAcentral. Lineage: Eukaryota; Metazoa; Chordata; Mammalia; Rodentia; Muridae.